UAUAAGAGAGCAGACUUAAAUUUUGUUUGGGCCAUGCUUCUCGAUCUCGUUAGACCAUGUCACCAUGACUGAUAAUAUUGAACGUGAAAGCUUUACAUUUGCAGAACUAUUUAUUGGUGAAAUUCCAUUUACUACAAUUGAUGCAGGAUAGGGUUACUUUGUACAUCACUGGCUUUUUGAUAACACUAACGGACGAUUUUACAGUGCAGAAACUUUAAAUGCAAUAUUCAAAGUGAAUCACUAUUUGAAAUUCCACAGCGAGAAAAUUAGUCAAAUUUAAGUCAAAGCAUUUAGAUUUGAAAUUAUGUUCGUAUUAACACUAUCCCUACUGGUUGUAUUUCAAUAGAUGCCACGUAAAUAUGAAAUAGUUAACACUAGGCCUAAGCCCACGGAAGAUGCUUUAAAGAAAGCUAUAGUUGAAGUCCAUACCAAACAAUGCGCGAUUAGAGGUGCUGCAGAAAAGUAUAACCUAAGCAAGUCAACUCUUGGUUUUUACUGUCUAAGAAAUUAACGGCAAUCUAUCGAGAACCAUCCUAUAAAAAAACCACACCAUCACAGUCAAAUAUUUUCAGUGCAACAAGAACAAGAACUUAGUGACUAUUUGAAAUAUAGAUGCAUUCUCAAUCAUGGACUAACUAAAAUGUUACACAUUUAUGAAUGGCUCGCUUUCAUCUCUCAAAAAUAAGAAAUUUUUCACGGUUCCUCCCAAUUCAACAACAAUAAUUGAACAACCAAAAUAUCCAUGCCUCUGUUUUGCUUUGUCCUUGAAGCUCAUGUUUUUUAUUUCAAAGUGAUGUUACAUUACGUUACCCAUAAAUGUUUCUCAUGAUGUUUCGAAUUUAUAUGUGGUCUUAAUCCAGUUCAUUCAAAAAAGAAAAAUAAUUAUCCAAGAAUAAAUUCAUCAUUGCUCAAUCAAA
Long non-coding RNA from Daphnia magna, 917 nucleotides. RefSeq lists it as uncharacterized. The record is from RefSeq and is a predicted model, not a curated record. The transcript is spliced from 2 exons. NCBI's taxonomy places the organism in Eukaryota, Metazoa, Arthropoda, Branchiopoda, Diplostraca, Daphniidae.